AAGGGUCUAGCUCAGCGGUAGAGUGCAUGCCUAGCAUGCGUGAGGUCCUGGGUUCAAUCCCCAGUACCUCCA
Molecule: transfer RNA, 72 nt
Organism: Camelus ferus (Wild Bactrian camel)
Lineage: Eukaryota; Metazoa; Chordata; Mammalia; Artiodactyla; Camelidae
Rfam family: tRNA
About the family: Transfer RNA (tRNA) molecules are approximately 80 nucleotides in length. Their secondary structure includes four short double-helical elements and three loops (D, anti-codon, and T loops).
Source: Rfam